RNAcentral lists this ribosomal RNA (1647 nucleotides) under Rubrobacter sp. RNAcentral describes it as "partial 23S ribosomal RNA". It matches the Rfam family "Bacterial large subunit ribosomal RNA", at positions 1978 to 2844 of the family's 2925-position model. The record is from RNAcentral. Lineage: Bacteria; Bacillati; Actinomycetota; Rubrobacteria; Rubrobacterales; Rubrobacteraceae.
AAGUUCCGACCCGCACGAAAGGUGUAACGACUUGGCCGCUGUCUCUAGGAGGGACCCGGCGAAACUGAGAUACCCGUGAAGACGCGGGUUACGCACACUUGGACAAAAAGACCCCGUGGAGCUUUACUGCAUCUUGGCAUUGGACUGGGGUUACGCAUGUGUAGCAUAGGUGGGAGACUUUGAAGCCGGCGCGCUAGCGUCGGUGGAGUCAACAGUGAAAUACCACCCUUGCGUGACUUCGGCUCUAACGGCUGUCCGUGAUCCGGCAGCCGGACAUUGCCAGGUGGGCAGUUUGACUGGGGCGGUCGCCUCCUAAAAGGUAACGGAGGCGCCCAAAGGUACCCUCAGGCUGGGUGGAAAUCAGCCUUAGAGUGCAAAGGCAUAAGGGUGCUUGACUGUGAGGCAUACAAGCCGAACAGGGACGAAAGUCGGGCUUAGUGACCUUCUGAUCUCGAGUGGAAGAGUCAGGAAUCAUCGGAUAAAAGCUACCCCGGGGAUAACAGGCUUAUCACGCCCAAGCGUUCACAGCGACGGCGUGGUUUGGCACCUCGAUGUCGGCUCGUCGCAUCCUGGGGGGGCAGUACCUCCCAAGGGUUGGGCUGUUCGCCCAUUAAAGCGGUACGCGAGCUGGGUUCAGAACGUUGUGAAACAGUUUGAGAUUAGAGCUGUUGUCUUUCCCACACCGUUCGUAUCAGCCUGUUUGAGCGAAAGGAAAGCUCGGCACACGCGCCGAGAUAAAUCUGGCCAAAUGCUGGGAACUCCGAGGAUCCCGCGCUACUGUCUCGCCGAGUGCGAGCAGUGACAACGCGUCGGGUGCGGACAAUCAGCAGGAAAGGCCAUGUCCAGGCCGCGAACGUGAGCGAUGACUACCUCCUUGGCUUCAUCGAAGGCGAGGGCAUGUUCCAUGUUGGGAUCGUGCCAAGCCGCUUUACGAAGCUCGGGUGGCAGGUCAUCUACCUCUUCAAGGUCGCGCAGAAUCCGAUCGGCGAGGGCGUUCUCCGGGCACUGCAGGAGCGCCUCAGAUGCGGAACGAUCUCUCCCAACGCCCGCGAGGGUGCGAGAGACAGGACGCUGAAGUACGUCGUACGGGACUACCAGAGCCUCGUCACGAAGGUCAUCCCCUUCUGUGACGGCCGGCUCGUCAUCAAGCGCGAUGCUCUAGAGGCACUACGCGCCGUUCUCGACAGGAUCGCUGUCGGUCGGCACCUCACGGCGAACGGACUGCUCGAGAUCGUGGACAUCGCCUACGCGAUGAACACGAGGACGCGACGCGUUCCUCGAGCGACGAUCGAAGCGGCCACUCAAGGACGUGGAAUCCUCACAGGCCAUACGCCGGACUUGCCUCAAUAGGGCAAGAAGAUAUGGUCGGACCCCUGCGGCGACGCAGGGAGCCAGCGGGAACAGAAACCAGCUGGCCGUAGUAACAAGAAUGUCGGUCUCUAUCCAGUGUGCGCGCAGGUGAGUUGAGAGGAGCUGCCCCCAGUACGAGAGGACCGGGGUGGGCGGACCGAUGGUGUACGAGUUGUCCUGCCAAGGGCACCGCUCGGUAGCUAUGUCCGUUCCGGAUAACCGCUGAAAGCAUCUAAGUGGGAAGCCGACCUCGAGAUGAGCUCACCCUCUGGGCAACCAGGUAAGACCGCAGGUAGA